This 393-nucleotide ribosomal RNA is filed under the name uncultured bacterium. Its description in RNAcentral is "bacterial SSU rRNA". It matches the Rfam family "Bacterial small subunit ribosomal RNA", at positions 28 to 420 of the family's 1533-position model. The record is from RNAcentral.
AUUGAACGCUGGCGGCAUGCUUUACACAUGCAAGUCGAGCGGCAGCGCGGGGGGCAACCCUGGCGGCGAGCGGCGAACGGGUGAGGAAUACAUCGGAACGUACCCCGGAGUGGGGGAUAACGCCGCGAAAGCGGCGCUAAUACCGCAUAUGCUCUGAGGAGGAAAGUGGGGGGACCUGCAAGGGCCUCACGCUCUGGGAGCGGCCGAUGUCCGAUUAGCUAGUUGGUGGGUAAAGGCCCACCAAGGCGACGAUCGGUAGCUGGUCUGAGAGGAUGAUCAGCCACACUGGGACUGAGACACGGCCCAGACUCCUACGGGAGGCAGCAGUGGGGAAUUUUGGACAAUGGGGGCAACCCUGAUCCAGCCAUGCCGCGUGCGGGAAGAAGGCCUCGG